This 383-nucleotide ribosomal RNA is filed under the name uncultured eukaryote. RNAcentral describes it as "partial 18S ribosomal RNA". It matches the Rfam family "Eukaryotic small subunit ribosomal RNA", at positions 592 to 976 of the family's 1831-position model. The record is from RNAcentral.
CAAUAGCGUAUAUUAAAGUUGUUGCAGUUAAAAAGCUCGUAGUUGGAUUUCUGGUAGGAGUGACCGUUCCGAACUUGAUUGUUCGUGUAUUGUGUUUUCUCCAGCCAUCCUUGUGGAGAACUUUUCUUGCAUUAAUUUGUAGGGAUUGGGACCCGCAUCGUUUACUGUGAAAAAAUUAGAGUGUAUAAAGCAGGCAAUCGCUUGAAUACAUUAGCAUGGAAUAAUAAGAUAGGACUUUGGUACUAUUUUGUUGGUUUGCAUACCAAAUUAAUGAUCAACAGGAACAGUUUGAGGAUAUUCGUAUGAACAUGUCAGAGGUGAAAUUCUUGGAUUUUGAUCAGACGAACUACUGCGAAAGCAUUUAUCAAGGAUGUUUUCAUUAA